Molecule: long non-coding RNA, 3494 nt
Organism: Gracilinanus agilis (Agile Gracile Mouse Opossum)
Lineage: Eukaryota; Metazoa; Chordata; Mammalia; Didelphimorphia; Didelphidae
Exons: 4
Source: RefSeq, a predicted model, not a curated record
ACAGAACUGGCCAAAUUGAAAAAAGACACAUAGAACUUUACUGAAGAAAAGAAUUUCCUCAAAAUUAAAAUUUGUCAAGUGGAACCCAAGGACCCCUUGUUACAUCUCUAGGAACAAUGAGACAAAGUCAAAAGAAUGAGUGAUAGAAGAAAAUUUGAAAUAUCUCAUCAGAAAAAUAAAUGACCUGGAGAAUAAAUUUAGGGGAUAGAAUUUAAUCACUAUUGAUCUAUAUGAAGACAAUGAACAAAAAAUAUUCUAGACAUCUCAUUUCAAGAAGGUAUAAAGGAAAACUGCCAACAUAUUUUAGAACCAGAAGGCCAAAUAGAAAUUGAACGGAUCCAGUGAUCACCUUCUGAAUGAGAUCCCAAAAUGAAAAUCCCCAGGAAUAUUAUAGUCAAAUUCCAGAGCUCUCACAUCAAGGAGAAAAUACUACAUACAGCCAGAAAGAAAUUAUUUAAAUACCACAGAGCCACUGUCAGGACCACAUAAGAUUUAGAAGCUACCAAUAUAACAAAGUGAGGGGCUUGUAAUCUGUUAGUCCGAAGACAAAGGAGCUACGGUUAUAACAAAGAACAAUCUAUCCAACAAACCUGAUUAUGAAAAUGAUGAAAAGAGGGCUUUCAAGUAUUCCUGUUGAAAAGAUCAGAGAUGAAUAUAAAAUCUGAAAUUCAAACAGAAGACUCAAUUGAAGCAUCAAAAGUGAUUCAGAGCAUUGUAGAGAGAAGCUGCUGUUCAAGUCACGGAUGGUGUGAAUCAAUUGAAUUCCAUUUCUCCCUAUGAAUUUCAAAUUACCUUUGGAUUUCCCUUUGACUGCUUUUGAGUCGAUUCAUAUGAAUACUAGUCACCAUUUUCACAUGUGAAAGUAACAGGAUUCCUCCCUGGUCAAGGUGGAAAGCUUUAGCCACCUUGGAUAGUUACCUUUGGAGCCUCCUGAUUGCUGCCAUGACUCACCGGACACUUGCAGUAAGAGCUUUGGCACGGCCAACUAGAGUCAACCAAGCUUAGUGGGGAGCUAAGAUGAGAGCAGCUGUUAGGAAGCUAAUAGUGAAAUGUCCAAGUGGCUCCUGGUUGUAGUUGGCUGUGUAAUAGAAUUAGAUGGGAUUCUCCACCCUCCCCUGCCAGGGCUUCCCUUCUCACUGUGUUUCCAAGUGGAGACAGAUUUUCAGGAAAGCUCUAGUCACAGUGAUCCAAGUUCUCCCAGACCUCUCAAAGCAGCAUGUGCUCUCUCUUUCUGGGCCAUUUAAAAUCUGCUCCUGGAGGUCUGAAAUACAAAGCUGGAGUUUCAGUAGGACUUGAGAGUAUUCACUGGCAACUAAGUGGGUGACAGACUGAGAAGCACAGAUGUCUCUGGAAGAUGGCUUCAAAGUCAAGUUGAGGUCAGGUCUUCUGACCCUGGCCCUGACAUUCAUGUUAUUAAAGAAUUCCCUGAAAAAGGGGGAGGGUGUAAAAUGAAUUUCAGAAAUGAACCUCACCUCCAACCUGCCAUCUGUUUGAACCAACUUUGCUUGCCGAUAAAGUCCUUCUUUGAAAGGACAAAUCCUGAAGCUGACAUUUGAAAACUUUGUCCAUGUAAGAAGACAAGACUCACUGGAAAUGACCCUGAUUUUCCGAAGGCAAAAGGAGAAGGGAACAGUAGAGGACCAGAUGGACAGACCGUGUCAUGGAAGUGAUGAACAUGAGCUUGGACUCACUUUGGGAAACGGUGGAGGAGAAAAGAGCCCAGCAUGCUAUGCUCCACAGGAUCCCAAAGAGUUGGACACGACCAAACAACAUGAUGCUUCACGGUCAAAUCUCCAAACAUACAUUUGGGAUACUGGAGCCAAGAAGAUCAAUGAGUUUGCCACCUCUCUGAAGGCAGGAAGGAGCCGAACUUCAGCUGUCAUCAUGAUUUGUAACAGCAUUUGAUGUAGCUGUUGAUCAGACAGAACUUCCCGAAACAGUCACUGAUGUCUCAAAGAACAAAUUCUCCCUCCAUCUGCAACAUCACCUAGUCAAGUCUACAGAUCUUCACAGAAUAUAGCAGGGCCAGAAGGAAAGGAAAGCAAAGAAAGGGAGGAGAAAUAAGCAUUUUGUAAGAAACUACUAUAUGCCAGGCACUGUGAUAAAUGCUAUACAAAUAUUAUCUCAUUAGAUCCUUAAAGUCAACCUGUGAGGUUGGUGCAGCUAUUAUCCUCGUUUUAAAAUGGGAAAAUUGAGGCAGGCAGAGGUUAAAGUGAUUUGCUUGGAGUCACACAGCUACAGAGACUAACAAUGGCACUGACUUAGAGAGACAGAGAGUAAAUGAAUAUCCCAAACAGAAAGAGAAAGAACAAAUAGAAGAAUGGAGAAAGUGAGAAAAUGAAAGAGCGGGCAGAGUUAGGGUUAAAGACAGAUUCCUGGCUAGAAGUUCCUGGAUCCUCAGGUGGAAUUGAGAGGAGAAGCAUGGACAGCUGAACAGAGAUGCCCAGAAAAGGAAGAAAUAUAAGGUGUUGAGAGUUAGAUUGGAAAUGUUUGAAGGGGACAGGAAGAGGUAGCUGAAGAGAGAUAAGAAGUUGUGGUUAGCUGCUUAGAAAGAUCUCUUGAGUGAUUUAUGGAUGGCUGAACUCAUGUAGCCAGUAGGAGCUGUCUGCAGAGAAGCUCAUCUCUGCAAGAUGGAUCAACGGGUAUAUCUAGAUGAGAGAUAAAUAAAGGAAGAAACUUGAGCACUGUGAAACUAUUGGGUGUUAAGCUCCAGGGAAGGCUCACAGACACAUUCUUCUUCAUGCUAUUUGCCAUCAUCUGUACAGCCUGAGCCUCUCUCAAUGGAUCGGUACCCCUAGUUAUGAGCCAUCAUUAUGGUGAAGCUCAGGAAGGAUGCUCAAAAUGAAGGUGAGCCAAAGAAAAUCUUGCCUCUCUCAAAGGAGAGAAAGGACAGUGAUGAUGAGGACAUGUCAGAAGAUGAAGAAGAAAGCAAUGGAAAAGAGGCUGUGGUCCUUGAGAAGGAGGACAAGAAAGCUGUGGCUAAACUAGCAAAGAAAGUAUCAGCAGCCAAAAAAGCUGUCAUUGUCGCUACACCUGUCAAGAAAGCAAACGUGACUCCUGAUAAGAAGGCUGCCAUGACCCUUGCCAAUAAAAUGGCUCCCCCAGCCAAAGCUAUCAUCAUCUUAGGCAAACAGGGCACCACUCCAGCUGAAGCAGCAACCAUUCAGCUAAAGAAGAUACUCUCCCAAAAAAGGAACAAAACAUGGGAAGAAAGCCAAGAAGAAAAGCCAGUGAAUCUGAAUAAGAGGAUUAUGAAGAUGAGGAGGAUGAAGAAUCUAAUCCGCCAAAGCCAUCAAAAUGGGAGCAGUGCCAGCCAAAAAUGAACCUGAGGCCGAAGAGGAAGAGGAUACUGGUAAGGAUGGCUGAAGAGGCAGCUGUGGAAACCACACUAGCCAAAGGAAAGGCUGCUUUUGUGAAAGCUGCCCCAUGGAGUACUGGGAAAGUAAAGAAUCCAAUGAGGAAGAGGAGGAGGGGGAGGAGAGGAAGAAGAGAAG